UUCAGCCUGGAAAGACCCUCAUUCCUGUGGUCAGUUCCCUGUUCAUGGACUUGGGCUCUGCGAUGUCCUGCAGUCCUAACACGACUUGAGGACAAACCGAGGGCAUAACCCUGGCAAACAGUGGACUUCGAAUCUCUACCUCGCUGUCCUUGAAGUUGGCCCGCCAGCAAACUGCCUGAGUUUUUGAAGCACUUCAAACUUCCAACCGUCAGUGCAUGCCCCCAAAGCCCUUCUGCACGCCGGUCGUCGGCUGGAGUUCAUUCUUAAUUUACGUUUUUAAAGGUGACCAGCCUCCUACGUGGCCAAAAGAUGAGGUGUUCGGCAUCUGUUACGAGCCUGGGCUGUGAGCCUCUGGCGAAGAUUUCUCACUCUCUCCAUAAGAUCCUGUUCCGUGGUGUCCCAUUGUACUCUUCUUUGAUUUAAAGAAACUUGAAAACAAAAUUUUAAGAUAACAAUAGUUUAAUGUUCUGAUAUUAGUAACGAUACACCAUGGAUUUUAAAGGUAAACAUGUUGCAAAAAAUCAGUAAUGAAAUGAUAUUUGAAAAACCAAAUUUCUUUAACAAAAAGCUUAAUGUGUUGUUCCCUAUACUGUUCCAUUUACAAGCCAAGUAUUUGUUGAAUUGAAUGAAUGUUAUCGGAGAAAGAGAACUCAUCUACUUUUGGUUAUUUACCAUUUGUUUUUUAUUUGGGGGAGAUAGACAAUCUUUAUU
This is a long non-coding RNA of Acinonyx jubatus (cheetah), 711 nucleotides long. RefSeq lists it as uncharacterized. The transcript is spliced from 3 exons. NCBI's taxonomy places the organism in Eukaryota, Metazoa, Chordata, Mammalia, Carnivora, Felidae. The record is from RefSeq and is a predicted model, not a curated record.